Molecule: long non-coding RNA, 1464 nt
Filed under: Chloebia gouldiae (Gouldian finch)
Lineage: Eukaryota; Metazoa; Chordata; Aves; Passeriformes; Passeridae
Description: Erythrura gouldiae (Gouldian finch) lncRNA (ENSEGOG00005005333.1)
Source: RNAcentral
UCAUUGGUGCCUCUGGGUUUACACUGAAUAUGAUGCAAGAAGAGUCUAUCAAUAUGGCUGAGGAGGGCAGUGACAGAGCAGCCUUGGUGGAUAUCCGGCAUCCAGCUGGGAUCAAUCUUCCACAGCAGACAACAGGACACUGAACUCUUCAAAGACCUACUUCACAGCUAAACUUUGUCUUCUGGUCUUUUUUUAUUUUUUAAAAUUUUUUUUUAGAGGGAGCUAAACCUACUGACUUUAAUGUUCCAAAUGAAUAAUGUUACAAGUUUCUCUUUUUAAAUCAAAGAAAUUAACUACAAAAAGUAUGUUUUUUUCCUUCAGAGAGCGUUUGCAUGUAAAACUAGUGAGAAAUUUUUCUCCUAAGCUGCAUUGUUGUUAAAGCCAAUGAGUUAAAGGAAUUCCAACUCCUGUAGGUGAGAGCACACAGUCAGAGUUUAUUGCAGUCACCUGGGUUUCAGAAAUAAUGAGACACACUCCAGCCAGUGAUUCCUCCCACUCUGUGAAAACUCAAAGGUAGUUUUCUGUGACAUUUUAUACUGUUUCAGGAGGGAACUCCUUGCAGAAACCUGGGGAUGAAGAAGAGCAUCCAGCCAUUCUAAGGUUAGCAGAAAGACAUAAAAGAGGGCAGCUGCCCUAAUCAUCUCUGAAGCAGCCAAGCAGAAAAGUUUUAACAUCCAGGGCCCUUUUUCUCUCUCUCUCUCUCCUUCUCUAAAAGUGGGAGUACAAGUGGGAGUAAAGCAGCCUGAAGGAAGAGAUACAUUGGUGGAAUACAUACAGUUGCUGGGGCUGGAUGUGGAGGGGACCCAAGGACUAUGGGAAGUACCCCAGUAAAUUCCGGGAAAUGUUAGAUCUCUGGGUGAUAACUCUAAUUAAGAACUCCUACGAGAUCCUGUAAAAGGCAUCUGCAAAGACGCAGAACUCACUCAUGUGGAUGAGGUUCACUGAGGAUUCUGAAGCUGCAUUCCUGGCAUGAAGACAUUUGGUUACCCCUUAUCAGCAUCACCAGCACUUUGGUACAUUAGUCGUGCUGAAAUUGUCUUCCUUUCUGGAACGAAAGUUAAUCCUUUGUGUGAAACAACAAUAGCAAAUAGAAAGACAGAAAUCCUGAAUCAUCCUCUGCAUCACAUCACUGCAUUUGCACAAGGAUGCUGGCUGGGCCCAACAGGCUGGUGGGCUGAAACACUUUUGGCUGCAGAGAAGGGAUUAAACUUGGACUCAUUAAGUGACUGUAGCUGGAAGAUAUGACUUUGGGCUGAAUGGCUUUAAAUAGUUUACAGGAGACCUUGUGGUAGUGAUAAAACUGAUGUAGUCAUUUCUAUUCUAAGCUUUAAAACUGGAGGAAUGUUAAACAGAUGCCAAGAAGAAGAGAAAAUUAAUCUUUAGCUAUUGAUUAAAGAUUCUGCAGACCUGAAAAGAACUGUAAAAGUAAAUAAAUGUUUUUUUUUAUUAAACCUUUGUCCUGUU